RNAcentral lists this small RNA (851 nucleotides) under Pongo abelii (Sumatran orangutan). RNAcentral describes it as "retained intron". The record is from RNAcentral. Lineage: Eukaryota; Metazoa; Chordata; Mammalia; Primates; Hominidae.
UAAAAUAUUUCAACCAUUUUUAAGCAUUGUGAACUAAUGGAGGGAUGUGGUGGUUUAUUUUUUCCUCUUAAAAAUUAUUAUUAAUGUGCUUAAGACAAACCAUAGCAACAAAAAACAUUUAGAUGUGAGGAUUUUUAAAUGAUGGAUUUUUAAAUGAUGGAAUGGAUAAUAGAUCAUAUGCCUGGGAAAAAAGGUAUGAUUCUCUUGAGAUUAUUUUUGUCAAAGGCAUAUAAGAACUGGUACCUUGAUGAGCUAAAGAAUUCCUAACAAAUUUUAUUUUCUAAAUGUUUGGAAUACUUACUUGUGUUUUUCAUUUUAGUGUGAUUUGGUACUUGAUGCCGCACAUGAGAAAAGUACAGAAUCCAGUUCGGGGCCGAAACGUGAAGAAAUAAUGGAGAGUAUUUUGUUCAAAUGUUCAGACUUUGUUAUGGUACAGUUUAAAGAUAUGGACUCCAGUUAUGCAAAAAGAGAUGCUUUUACUGACUCUGCUAUCAGUGCUAAAGUGAAUGGCGAACACAAAGAGAAGGACCUGGAGCCCUGGGAUGCAGGUGAACUCACAGCCAAUGAGGAACUUGAGGCUUUGGAAAAUGACGUAUCUAAUGGAUGGGAUCCCAAUGAUAUGUUUCGAUAUAAUGAAGAAAAUUAUGGUGUAGUGUCUACGUAUGAUAGCAGUUUAUCUUCGUAUACGGUGCCCUUAGAAAGAGAUAACUCAGAAGAAUUUUUAAAACGGGAAGCAAGGGCAAACCAGUUAGCAGAAGAAAUUGAGUCAAGUGCCCAGUACAAAGCUCGAGUGGCCCUGGAAAAUGAUGAUAGGAGUGAGGAAGAAAAAUACACAGCAGUUCAGAGAAAUU